This 75-nucleotide ribozyme is filed under the name Crocodylus porosus (Australian saltwater crocodile). RNAcentral's name for it is "Mammalian CPEB3 ribozyme (ENSCPRG00005012883.1)". It matches the Rfam family "Mammalian CPEB3 ribozyme". From Rfam's summary of the family: The mammalian CPEB3 ribozyme is a self cleaving RNA located in the second intron of the CPEB3 gene which belongs to a family of genes regulating messenger RNA polyadenylation. This ribozyme is highly conserved and found only in mammals. Lineage: Eukaryota; Metazoa; Chordata; Crocodylia; Crocodylidae. The record is from RNAcentral.
GUACUAGAAAUAGGCCAUAGCAGAAGUGCUCACAACGCAGCCCUGUCAGAUUCCAGCAAAUCUGCAAAUUCUGCU